Molecule: ribosomal RNA, 497 nt
Filed under: uncultured bacterium
Lineage: Bacteria
Description: partial 16S ribosomal RNA
Rfam family: Bacterial small subunit ribosomal RNA
Source: RNAcentral
GAUGAACGCUGGCGGCGUGCCUAAUACAUGCAAGUCGAGCGGACGGACGAGAAGCUUGCUUCUCUGAUGUUAGCGGCGGACGGGUGAGUAACACGUGGAUAACCUACCUAUAAGACUGGGAUAACUUCGGGAAACCGGAGCUAAUACCGGAUGAUAUUUUGAACCGCAUGGUUCAAAAGUGAAAGACGGUCUUGCUGUCACUUAUCGAUGGAUCCGCGCUGCAUUAGCUAGUUGGUAAGGUAACGGCUUACCAAGGCAACGAUGCAUAGCCGACCUGAGAGGGGGAUCGGCCACACUGGAACUGAGACACGGUACAGACUCCGACGGGAGGCAGCGGUAGGGAAUCUUCCGAAAUGGGCGAAAGCCUGACGGAGCAACGCCGCGUGAGUGAUGAAGGUCUUCGGAUCGUAAAACUCUGUUAGUAGGGAAGAACAUAUGUGUAAGUAACUGUGCACAUCUUGACGGUACCUAAUCAGAAAGCCACGGCUAACUACGUG